UACAGAGGUCCCGAGCGUUGUUCGGAUUCACUGGGCGUAAAGGGUGCGUAGGUGGCCGGGUAAGUUUGGUGUGAAAGCUCGGAGCUCAACUCCGAAGAGUCAUUAAAUACUAUCCGGCUGGAGGGUCGGAGGGGAGACUGGAAUUCUCGGUGUAGCAGUGAAAUGCGUAGAGAUCGAGAGGAACACCAGUGGCGAAGGCGAGUCUCUGGACGACACCUGACACUGAGGCACGAAAGCUAGGGGAG
Molecule: ribosomal RNA, 245 nt
Filed under: uncultured bacterium
Lineage: Bacteria
Description: partial 16S ribosomal RNA
Rfam family: Bacterial small subunit ribosomal RNA
Source: RNAcentral